UAUCGAGGUCGACGCUGCAACUUGAAAGAACGGUACAAAAGGAUGAAAACAUAUCAAUGUUGGAUAACACAUGACAAGACAGGACUGAUGGAAACAGAACAUUUGUCAGUAAACUUUCCAAAUGUUGACAAAACAAAGGUUUUCACAGCGGAUGAAACGACAUCUACGGUGUGACUAAGACAUGCAGAAAGGAAACCACUGAAAACAUUGAAUGAGAGCAGAUGAGUGCAGUACACCUAUCCAGCCUAUCCGAUGGCCAUAUGGGGAAGCAGAGGUAAUGAGGUAAUGUAAAGAAACCCUUCCCUAUCGCCCAGUGUAUUCAUCUAGUCUAAUGCUCAUUGAACAAUAACAUCAACCCAGGAGGAAAAGAGAUACAUUUUUGA
Molecule: long non-coding RNA, 383 nt
Organism: Oncorhynchus keta (chum salmon)
Lineage: Eukaryota; Metazoa; Chordata; Actinopteri; Salmoniformes; Salmonidae
Exons: 3
Source: RefSeq, a predicted model, not a curated record